Molecule: ribosomal RNA, 251 nt
Filed under: uncultured bacterium
Lineage: Bacteria
Description: partial 16S ribosomal RNA
Rfam family: Bacterial small subunit ribosomal RNA
Source: RNAcentral
UACGUAGGUGGCGAGCGUUAUCCGGAUUUAUUGGGCGUAAAGGGUGCGUAGGCGGUUAAAAAAGUCUUUCGGUUAAAACUCUAAGCUUAACUUAGAGUCGCCAAGGAAACUUUUUAACUAGAGUUUAGGAGAGGUUAGUGGAAUUUCUAGUGUAGUGGUGGAAUACUUAGAUAUUAGAAGGAACACCAGUGGCGAAGGCGACUAACUGGCCAUAACUGACGCUGAGGCACGAAAGUUGGGGGAGCAAAAAG